UUCCCAAAAUUCUUUUCGUAAUAAAUUUCCACCACUUUUUCAUCCUAAUAUUAGUUUAUAGGAUCUCAUAAAAUAAGGCAUAAAAGUAAUUUACUUAUAUAUAUUUAAUAAAUGUGUUAAAAAGGAAAAUAAAGCCCAUAUUAUUGCUGGCCUCUUCUCUUAUCCUCUCUUGGAGCUCGGGCCCUCUUCACGAGCACUUCCUGUUACUACUCUCUGCUCUAUCUCACAACUUCCAAAAACAAAAAAAUUAUUCAGAAUUAAAAAAAAAAGAAAAAAUCAGUCCCCAAAAAUCUGAUAGUUGAUGCAGAAACCAAGCAAAAAAUUCAGACCUUUUUCUUCAUUAAACUCCCCCAUUCAUCAUCCAACUUUCUUGAAAACCAUUUCCUUGUUAAAAUUCAGCACUUGUCACACAGACCCAAUAAUCUGAAAAAAGAAAAAAAGAAACCCCAUUAGAGAAAACCCCAAGAAAAUGAAGAGAGAUCGUGAUAGAGAAAAUUCCCAAGAUGGUUCUUCUUCUGGUAAAUCUAAGAUUUUUGAAGAAGAACAACCAGAUGCUGGAAUGGACGAGCUUUUAGCUGUUCUGGGUUAUAAAGUUAAAUCUUCAGAUAUGGCUGAAGUUGCACAAAAACUUGAACAACUU
This 640-nucleotide long non-coding RNA is filed under the name Nicotiana benthamiana. RNAcentral's name for it is "long non-coding RNA (NBEN_LNC006661)". Lineage: Eukaryota; Viridiplantae; Streptophyta; Magnoliopsida; Solanales; Solanaceae. The record is from RNAcentral.